AUGGAGCAGCUCGUGCGGGCUAGCAGCAGCGGCCAGCGCCGCUCGCUGUCGGAGCAUCCUACUGCUGUAUCGAAGAGGCGGUGUGGCGGGAUGUCGCAGCAGGCUGCGGCUGUGCAUCGCUCCGGCGUCUCUGCACAGCUGCGUCUUGCUUCUUGCUUGCCGCCUUUUGAGAUGGGGACGAGAGGAAGAGAGGAAGAGGGAGGAUCGAGAGAAGAUGGGAUAAGAUUUGUGCGGUGGGAAGUGGUGAGGCCCAUCGGGACACGCGUCAUCGGGAGGAGGCGGUUUACGAGGGCGUAUUAUCAGCCGGUGGAAACGAAGCGAUUUCCUUUAUAUCAUGGGAUGGAGGGAGUAUUUCUCUUCUCUAUUUUAUACAUAUAUGAUAUGGUUAAAAGGACUGUGGUAUCCUCAAUCUACCAAGGUUCAAAUUCUGAUGCUCAUAUUUAUUCUCGAAUUUAUUUCAGGAUUUCCGGCGAUGCACAUUCAAUGGGAGGAGACGUUUCCGUCGAUGACGAGAUGCCUACUGUGACUUAG
This 531-nucleotide ribosomal RNA is filed under the name Triticum aestivum (bread wheat). RNAcentral describes it as "partial small subunit ribosomal RNA". The record is from RNAcentral. Lineage: Eukaryota; Viridiplantae; Streptophyta; Magnoliopsida; Poales; Poaceae.